UACGUAGGGGGCGAGCGUUGUCCGGAAUCAUUGGGCGUAAAGCGCGUGUAGGCGGCUCGGUAAGUCUGCUGUGAAAGUCCAGGGCUCAACCCUGGGAUGCCGGUGGAUACUGUCGAGCUCGAGUCCGGAAGAGGCGAGUGGAAUUCCUGGUGUAGCGGUGAAAUGCGCAGAUAUCAGGAGGAACACCGAUGGCGAAGGCAGCUCGCUGGGACGGUACUGACGCUGAGGCGCGAAAGCGUGGGGAGCGAACAGG
Molecule: ribosomal RNA, 253 nt
Filed under: uncultured bacterium
Lineage: Bacteria
Description: partial 16S ribosomal RNA
Rfam family: Bacterial small subunit ribosomal RNA
Source: RNAcentral